Bufo gargarizans (Asiatic toad) is the source of this 2921-nucleotide long non-coding RNA. RefSeq lists it as uncharacterized. The transcript has 3 exons. Lineage: Eukaryota; Metazoa; Chordata; Amphibia; Anura; Bufonidae. The record is from RefSeq and is a predicted model, not a curated record.
GUAAGCAGCAGUGUGUGUUCCUGAGGAAACAAAAGCAUGGUGUCUGUGUAAAUUUUGUCCUCCAUCAGAGAUCUGCUGUAAUCCACAAGAUAAGUUCAGAAGCAACUUAAUCCGGUUAUCCUGUCUCUUAAAGACGAGGCGGCUGAGAGAAGUUGUCCAGACCGAAUGGAGAAGAUGAUGACAGAGAGGAGACGUCCCCUGAAGGCCCUGGAUGUGACAGGCCAAGCAACAACAACAGGCGUGUGAGAAGAAGAGAAACUUCAGAGAGCUGCAGCGUUAGCUGCGAUCCCUGCAAGACCUUCAUCUGUGCGGCUGGAGCGUUAGAGAGGAACUGGAGGAGAUCAAAAAGAGCCUAAAAAGGCAUUUUGAGGAGGAAUCCAAGCAAAUCAUCUUCCAUUCCAAGGUGAAGAACCUGGAGAAUGGUGAGAAAUGCAACUCGUUCUUUUACAGGAAACUCCACACUGGCCACACGCCCCUGAAUGAACUUCGGGACAAGGACGACAACAUGCAAUCAGGGAACGAGGAAGUGAAGGGAGUCGUCAAAGACUAGUACAGCGACCAUUACUCCAUGAAGAACACCGACCUGACAGCCGAAGAUAAAUUCCUGUCAGGUAUCACUAACCAUUUUGAUCCUGCAGGUGUGGAGGCAAUGGAAGACCCUCUGACGGUGGGAGAGCUGCUCUCUGCCGCUAGAUCCUUUAAGUCCGGCAGGACCCCGAGCAGUGACGGUCUUCCAGCAGAGAACUAUGUAGCGCUGGGGGAUCUGAUCUGUCCAGACCUGCUGGAACUCUAUGAGGAGAUGGUGGUGGAGGGUAGAAUGCCCCCAUCGUUGAGGGAAGGGGAAGAGAUGUGAUCUGAAAAACUGGCGUCCCAUCUCUCUCCUAAACCUGGACUACAAGAUCCUCGCCAAGGUACUGGCCAACCAGCUGAAUAUUGUCAUCGGCAGCAUCGUCCACCCGGAUCAGACCUGCGGCAUUCCUGGCCGCAAGAUCGCAAAUAUUCUUGCUCUCAUGAGAGACAUGGUACAAUACAUCAAAGAUGGCCGUGUACACGCGGCCCUGGUCAGCCUUGAUCAGGAGAAGGCCUUUGAACAAGUCUCUCAUGAAUUCAUGGGCAAGGCGUUGCACAAGCUGGGUCUGGGCAGGAGGUUCUGUUCGUUUGUUAACCUGAUGUACCUUGAUAUUUAAAGCACGGUGUUGGUGAACGGCUGGAAGACUGACCCUUUUUCUGUCCUCUCUGGGGUCAGACAAGGCUGCCCUCUAUCACCCCUCCUUUUUGUUUGUGUUAUAGAGUUCUUUGCGGAGUCUAUCCGGCAGAAUGGAGAGAUCAGAGGGAUCACUGUACCAGGAACAGGAUACUACAAGGUCAAGUGCUUGCUGUACAUGCACGACGUGACCAUCUUCUGCGCUGGCCGGCGUUUGGUGACUGCACUCGUCCAGACCUGCGAGGAGUUCGGACAAGCUUCAGGGGCUAAAGUCAACUGCGGGAAGUCAGAAGCCAUGCACUUCGGGGAGUGACAACUGGCUUCCUCUGCCCCCUUCCCAUUUACCAUCAAAUCAGACUUCAUCCAGAUCCUGCGAGUCUGGUUCGGAAAGGAAGGCGCAGCCCUCAAAUCUUGAAAAGACCGCUUGACCAAGGUGAACCAAAGGAUUGGACUAUAGAGCCUUGGGCAGCUCACUAUUGAGGGCAAAGCAUUCUUUCUGCGUAACAAAGUUCUGCCUGUACUACAGUACACAGCACAGGCAUAGCCCAUUCUUGCCACUGUUUCUAGGGCCAUCACCAGGACAGUGUUUCCCUUUGUUUGGGGCUCCAAAAUAGACAGAGUAAAGCGAGCCAUCAUGUACAAAGCGCCCCGCAAGGGUGGGAAGGGCAUUCCGGACCUGCCCAUUUUACUGUGGAUUGCCUUUGUUUGUGACAGCGUUCACGGGCUCUGACAACUGCAAACGGCUCUGCGGGCAAGGCCAUGUCUCACUUCUUUCUCCUGCCCCACUGGAGGGGUCUAGGUUGCGACAAGUGGGACAGCUCCAUCCCUUACAACUAGCACGCUCCCUGGUAUUACGGAGAUGUUGUCAGGUUUGAGGGAGCAUCAACUGGAGGGCCACGACAAUCCACAAGAUAAUCAGAGCGAAGGACUUGGUGGAGUCAAUUCCAGGGCUCCCUGAUGACACCGCAGAGACAGUAUGGACUAAUGUGUCUUCAGACAGGUUAACCAAAGGGCACAAGGACUUGUCAUGAAUGGCCAUCCUGGGAGGCUUGCCUAUACGGUCAUUAAUGCACGCCCGCAACCUAUGCAAAACCCGGAACUGCCCCAGGUGCCACUUCAGAGGAAACAUCUUAUCACCUGUUCUGGGUGUGAUCCUUUGCGCAGGGCCUGUUGGAUGCCCUGGAACAUGAACUCAAAGACUCUUUCCCCAGGAUCAGCCUGCAACACACCUCGGUGUUGUACGGACUAUUUCCUGGGAUUCAUACUGUUGAGGCCAUGCGCCUUAUGAACUGUUUUAAGGAUGCUAUAUGGCUUACCAGGAACCGACUCAUCCUCAGGAGGGAGAGCAUGUCCGUCCUGGACUGCCGCAGGUUUACCCACAGCCUGUUGCGGGAUUACAACAUUUUGGACGUCGACGAAGAAGAGGACUAAACCCCUCUCCUUCCCCCUCCCCCCCCUUUUGUGUCUGUCCUUUCAAUAAAGCUUGGGGCAUGUGAUUCCCCCCUCCCCUCAUCACUGUCUAAAUGCUUUGUUGAAUGGUAAGUGAUUAAAUAGGAAUGCUAGUGUAGCAUGCAUUGUGAUGUAUAGUGUAGGUUAGCCUGGCGUCACAUAACAAUACCAUGCUAUGAAAGACGAUUGCAAGUAUUUAUUAAGUGCUGCCUCGUGGCCUGGGCUGCUUCGCAGCACUAAGUAUGUAUGUUUGACGAUUUUAUUAUAA